This 497-nucleotide ribosomal RNA is filed under the name uncultured bacterium. RNAcentral describes it as "partial 16S ribosomal RNA". It matches the Rfam family "Bacterial small subunit ribosomal RNA", at positions 28 to 507 of the family's 1533-position model. The record is from RNAcentral.
GAUGAACGCUGGCGGCGUGCCUAAUACAUGCAAGUCGAGCGAACGGACGAGAAGCUUGCUUCUCUGAUGUUAGCGGCGGACGGGUGGGUAACACGUGGAUAACCUACCUAUAAGACUGGGAUAACUUCGGGAAACCGGAGCUAAUACCGGAUAAUAUUUUGAACCGCAUGGUUCAAAAGUGAAAGACGGUCUUGCUGUCACUUAUAGAUGGAUCCGCGCUGCAUUAGCUAGUUGGUAAGGUAACGGCUUACCAAGGCAACGAUGCAUAGCCGACCUGAGAGGGUGAUCGGCCGCACUGGAACUGAGACACGGUCCAGACUCCUACGGGAGGCAGCAGUAGGGAAUCUUCCGCAAUGGGCGAAAGCCUGACGGAGCAACGCCGCGUGAGUGAUGAAGGUCUUCGGAUCGUAAAACUCUGUUAUUAGGGAAGAACAUAUGUGUAAGUAACUGUGCACAUCUUGACGGUACCUAAUCAGAAAGCCACGGCUAACUACGUG